Molecule: ribosomal RNA, 482 nt
Filed under: Oceanobacillus iheyensis
Lineage: Bacteria; Bacillati; Bacillota; Bacilli; Caryophanales; Bacillaceae
Description: bacterial SSU rRNA
Rfam family: Bacterial small subunit ribosomal RNA
Source: RNAcentral
CCUGGCUCAGGACGAACGCUGGCGGCGUGCCUAAUACAUGCAAGUCGAGCGCAGGAAGUUAUCUGAUCCUCUUUUAGAGGUGACGAUAAUGGAAUGAGCGGCGGACGGGUGAGUAACACGUAGGCAACCUGCCUGUAAGACUGGGAUAACUCGUGGAAACGCGAGCUAAUACCGGAUAACACUUUUCAUCUCCUGAUGAGAAGUUGAAAGGCGGCUUUUGCUGUCACUUACAGAUGGGCCUGCGGCGCAUUAGCUAGUUGGUAAGGUAAUGGCUUACCAAGGCGACGAUGCGUAGCCGACCUGAGAGGGUGAUCGGCCACACUGGGACUGAGACACGGCCCAGACUCCUACGGGAGGCAGCAGUAGGGAAUCUUCCGCAAUGGACGAAAGUCUGACGGAGCAACGCCGCGUGAGUGAUGAAGGUUUUCGGAUCGUAAAACUCUGUUGUUAGGGAAGAACAGAGUAGCCAUAGUAACUGAUGG